UUUGUGAAUGUUACCUCAUAUGGUAAAAGGUGCUUUGCAGAAAUGAUGAAAAGUCUUGAGAUCAAGAGAUUAUCCUGGAUCAUUUGGGUGGACCUGUUACCACAGUGGUCUUCAUAAGAAGGAUGUGCAGGAGUCAGAGUCAGAUAGAAUGCAGUAUCACAACAGAAACAGAUUGGAGUGAUGUGGCCACAAGCCAUGGAUGCUGUAGUUUCCAGAACAGCCCCAGUGCCUGUCCAUGGCUUGUAAGGAACCGGGUGCACAGCAGGAGCAUAAAAAAUGAUGGGAAAGACUGCACCGGCAACUUGUCUUUGGAGUCAAACAAACCUGAGGAAAUAGAAAAGUUUCAAAAAGGAGAAGGCAAGGAUGAAGAAAAGUACAUUGAUGUGGUGAUUAAUAAGAACAUGAAGCUGGGACAGAAAGUGUUAAUUCCUGUGAAACAGUUCCCUAAGUUCAACUUUGUGGGAAAACUUUUGGGUCCACGUGGCAAUUCUCUGAAGCGUUUACAAGAAGAAACUUUGACAAAAAUGUCCAUCCUUGGAAAAGGUUCCAUGAGAGACAAGGCCAAGGAAGAAGAGUUGAGGAAAAGUGGAGAAGCAAAGUACUUCCAUCUCAAUGAUGAUCUCCAUGUUCUCAUUGAAGUGUUUGCCCCACCUGCAGAAGCUUAUGCCAGGAUGGGACAUGCUUUGGAAGAAAUCAAAAAGUUCCUCAUCCCUGAUUAUAAUGAUGAGAUCAGGCAAGCACAGCUUCAGGAAUUAACAUACUUGAAUGGUGGUUCAGAAAAUGCAGAUGUUCCAGUGGUUCGAGGGAAACCCACCUUGCGUACAAGAGGUGUACCAGCCCCAGCAAUAACCAGGGGAAGGGGAGGAGUUACAGCCCGGCCAGUUGGAGUUGUAGUACCACGAGGGACGCCAACGCCCAGAGGAGUCCUCUCCACCCGAGGGCCCGUGAGUCGGGGAAGAGGACUUCUCACUCCCAGAGCCAGAGGAGUCCCCCCAACUGGGUACAGACCUCCACCGCCACCCCCAACACAAGAGACUUAUGGAGAAUAUGACUAUGAUGAUGGAUAUGGCACUGCUUAUGAUGAACAGAGUUAUGAUUCCUAUGAGAACAGCUAUAGCACCCCAGCCCAAAGUGGUGCUGAUUACUAUGAUUAUGGACAUGGACUCAGUGAGGAGACUUAUGAUUCCUACGGGCAAGAAGAGUGGACUAACUCAAGACACAAGGCACCUUCAGCGAGGACAGCAAAGGGCGUCUACAGAGACCAGCCAUAUGGCAGAUACUGAUUGUACUGUCUGAUGUUGUGAAAUAGCCAAUCUCCACCAGUCCUGUAUACUGUUCAAAGAAAUGGCAGUCAUCUUGGAAUGUUGAAGGAACUGGUUGCACACCUGAAGGAAUCAAAGGUAAGUUUGCCUUUUGGUUCCAGUGAUUCUGAUCUGCUGUGGAAGAUGAAGACAAUUUCAUGCUUAUCUAAAGUCACAUGGAAAAUUUCCCCUGCUGAUUUCCUAUUACUAGUGAUUAUGUCAAAUUAACUACAAAAGUCAGAAAAGAAGCUUCCUGAAUCAAGUCUGACCCAGGAAGCUUCAUUAUAAGCGGCAGAGAUUGGAGGCUCAGGUCAUCCUGAUAUUUAAAUAUUCAGAUUACUUUCAAUAGCAUGAAAAACAUUUUCCAGAUCAUUCAGGAAAGAGAGCAGUUUGCCAAACUUAAUAUAUAAUAUGAUCCCAAUUUUAGUUUUCUAUGUGUGUAGGCAAAAAAAUUACACAGAUAGGCUGGAAAUUUUUGACAGUAUUUAUCUUAGUCUUAUGGAAGCAUGAUUUUCUGUGCUUCUCAAUUUUAUGAAACAAAUUAUAAGUAUUAUAAAAUGUACUUUAUAAAAAUUACUUCUUUAAAAAAAUGUAAAAAUCUGGGGACCUAUAAAGGAAAGAUAUUAUUUUUGUCUCUUUUUUUACAUUUUCUUGGUUUUUUUCUAAUGCAUAAAAAAAAUACUAUGUAGGCUCUAAUCUUCCAGAGAGUAUUAUUUUUUCAGUAUUUGUAUUUGAGCUCUGCCACUUAACUGUGUGACUUUGGGCAAGUCUCACUUUCUCCAUCAGUUCAGUGAAAAUGAUGCUUAUCUCAUGCAUUUGUUAGAAGAAUUAAGAUAAUAUUGUCAGAGUGUUUUGCAACGUGAAAGUGAUCCAGUCAUAUAAAGUUUAAUUGUCAAAGUUGUAUUCACAUGUUUAAUAUAUAUGAAAAAUAUAUGAGCCUUUUUCUUAAUAGCCAAAAUUAGCCUGAAAUAAUUAAAUUACCUUUAGAAAGAAGAUAAUUCUCAUUUUUGUAGACAAAGUAAGUUUAUUUUCUUUUUUUUUUUUUUUUUUGUGUUGUAUGGAAAGGGAAUGUGACGAUCACCACAUCUCUGUAGUGUGUGAUGUUAUUGAAACUUUUCAUGAUUGUUUUUCUUUAUUAAAUGGUUUUUUUAAGGAGUUGGCUUACAGAAUAAUAAGUUAAGAAUUAGGGAGAGGUGAAGGGUCCAUCCUCAGAGUUAAUGGGAUAGGUAGAGGGUCCAUCCUCAGAGUGCUCUUCAGAGUUAAUAGGAAAUACCAUACAGUUUUAUGUUUAUUAUCCUGUUUUCAAAGCACUCAUAGCUUUAUCCGACUGUAAAAAGGGGUUGUGAUCCAGAAGGGUCCAGAACACUAUUGGACAGGAACUUUCCUACUUGUCCUUCAAGACCUUCUCUUAUCUGGCUGAUACUCCAGCAAACCUUAUUAUUUUCUAUUUCCACAGGAAGGCCCUGCUGUAGAUAAGCCCAUCUUUCCCUGUCUCUAAGGGCACAUCGCAUGUUCCCAAGUCGCUUCCUCCUAACUUUGUUUUCUCCCCUUGGAAUUCAUUUAUCUUCUCAUAUGACAGCAUCCAUGGAACAUGAAUGAGCUCCAUACUGGACACAACAGAGGCACUGGUCAUACAAAGGCUGAUAACACAUGGACCCCUGUAUUCAAGUACCGCAAAACCAAAUGGAGGUGACAGGCCCAUAACAAACAACUUGCUGUCCCCUGUAUCUUCACAUGAGGAAAACAUACCUGUCCUUCAGAACUCGGCCCCAUGCCCUCUCUUCCAUGAUGUCCUCACCGGUUAAAUCAGGCUGUGAUUCCUCCACCGUCUCUAAAGAGCAUGUUUGGUUUCUAUUUCUUCAUUUUAGUGUUGGUAUCCUAUGACUUAUAUUGGUUGUAAGUGGCCAUAACAACUAAGCAUGUGCUUAUAAUUUUCUGUAAAUUAUUUUAUUGAAUCCUCACAGGCAUAAGAAGGUAUCAUCUACAUUUUAAAAAAGGAAGAAAUUUAAGCUUCAGGAGGUGAAUUUCACACUUAGGUUGCUCAUGUACUUGACAAUUGGUAAAGCCCAGAUUUGAACCCAUUGACUUUAAUCCAGAGUCUUCGAUGUUAACCAUUUUGUUAUACUGUCAUUCUCAAUAUUACAGUGGCUUCUCCAUUGGAUUAAAGGCUGUUUAAGAGCAGGAGCCUUUAAUUUUUGUUACUUUGUGUCACAGAGAGUAUCUCACACAAAGCUGAGCAUUGUGAAUAACUGCCCUCUUCUCUUUCUCUACCCCACCUUGCCCCAGAUUCCUUCACGGAGAGAGUCUGUGGCUUGUUUAGGUUCUGAAUCUUUUUGUACUCAGGUGUUCCAAGUCAAGUCUGUAUCAGUAUUUACUCGGAUAUAUUUCCUGAACACUGGCUGUGCUGCAGACAGUAGGAAUACAAUGAUUAAAGACAUCAUUGCUGUCCUUGGAAGUGCCACAGUCUGCUGGGGAAAUGGGCAAAGAUGAAGUCUGUAGAGCUCGGACAGAGAUAUAUGUGCUUUCUAGGCACGUGGAAUGGGGAUGUGUAACCCAGGCAGGGUGGUCAGAGGUAGCAGAAGAGGCCCAUGGAGAUACUAAGACCAGGAGAAGAUAGCGCCACAGGGCAGAUACUCUCAGAGCAUCCAUAUGUCCGCUCUGCCCUUCACCUGCUUUGUGAUCUUGAGUCCGUGGCUUAACCUCUCGUAAUAAGAAUCUAAACUGCAGGUUCCCCACUAAUAAAAGAGACAGUUAUGAUGCCUAUCUUAGUAUUGCUGUGAUGAUUAGAAGCAUGCCCGGCACAAAUAAAGAUGUUCACUCAUUGGUUUCUAUAUGUAAAUUUUUGCAAUUAUAAGAAAACAUCAUUUAGGAAACUUCAGUUAUAUUAGAUAAUUAGAGAAAGAAAGGGACAAUGCUGGCUGUGCAGGAUAAAGGACAUGUAAUGAAGGGUCUUGUAGAUUCUGCUAGGAAGCUCAAAUUCAGUGCAGCCAUUUUCAAGUAUGGUAUCCUCUGCCUUUAAGCUUGACCUACUCCAUUCUCUGGGGCAGAUACAGUUCCUCAUUUAGUCUGUUCCAAAAAGAACUCUACAGACCUCUGUUUUCACUGGUUAGUGAUUUUAUAACCAGACAAUCAGUGCCUUAAAAAAUAGGCACUCUAACUGUUUUACCCUCUUGUCCCCCAUCUUUUACGUAGUUAUUUGACUGUGUAAGGGUUUAUUUAGUAAGUGAAUGGCAUUGUCAGUGUGAUCAAGAUGAUUCCUAACAGGCAGUGUUAGGAACGGUUAACCAAGACCCCAAAAAACCCACACAAUCACGUUAACGGUACCACAGUUUAGAUAGUCAGGCUUUACUCAGAGUUUAACUCAGAGUUAAAGACUCUGGUCACUGUUUACAGAGACAGGUUCCAGAAUUUAAAACUAACGAUUUGAAGAAAAAGUAAUAAAAUUGUAGAGUCAAAAGUUAAAUGAAAAUAUAAAACAUUUGAUAGAAUAUGUGUGACAUCUAAGGAAUAAAGUGUAUUGUUUUCUGUGCAAAUAAUGUCUACUAUUAAUAUUGAUAUUCAGUGCUUUAUAGGAAUAGAAAGGAAAAAAAAUCAUUAUUUUAAAAUAACCAUCCAUUUUAUGCCUGAUUCUGUUUUGCUUUCUGAUUGGGAAAGGCUGCAGAUCAUUUUUCAAUCUGAAGUUCACCCUUCUGUUUCAAUGGAAAAUUCUGUCCAGUUGAAGUUGAUUCUGACAUUCCUGUUUCAGGAAUCUCAGUUAUGUAUUUCAGCUCUUAGCUCCUAUUGCUGAAGUCAUUUUUCAGAUCUUAAUGUGAUGAGUCCUUCAGUGACUUUCAGGAUAAAACUCAACCUCCUUGGCUCUGAACAUCAAGCCCUGCGUGAUUCUGCCGCUGGCCUCGUCAGCCGCCUGGAGCACAGCAUGCUCUGACCCCACCCCACUGUGGUUCAGCCCUGAUAGAUUGAAAACCAUCUAGAGCUUUUCCAGCAGUGCCAUUCUCUGCCUGAAGUCACAGUUCCUUACCCUACCCAAAUAAAUGAACACAGCUGAGUGGACACAACUCUCACCCAGCUCUUGGUCUAGCUAGUUGUUGCUGACCUGUCAGCACUUCCAAGUGAAACUUGAAGCAUCCCCUCACCCAGGAGACCCUCACAAGCCCACCAUCUUCACAUCCAGUCUGGGUGUAGAGUCUCUACUGUGGACCCUCAUCUUACUCGAUGAAUUCUGCAGUACAGUAUCCUGAGAUUGUCUGUUUGUUUGCCCUCCUUACCUCCGACCAGAUUGUGAACAUCUUUAGUGCAAUUACCAUGUCUUAUGCCUAAUAAGUGGUAAUUGAACAAGUCAUUGAAUGUAUGAGUGAAUAAAGUGAAUGUGGUAGCCGGGUGGCUGAUAGUACAGGGCAAUGUACUAGGUCUUGUUUGGCCUUAUUAGAUUAAGUUAGUCGUCCUUUCAUUCAAGGAGAACUUAGCAGGUUAUUAAGUUCUGUCUUGUGUGUUUAUCUCAUUUGAACCUCUGCUGGCGGGAUUUAUGUGUCUGCUACCUAACACAGGUCCCAGUAUGUAACAGACAGUCAAAACAAGGAGAUGGAAUAAACAAACAGGUACCAUUGUGAAGGUGCAUGGGUGGUGAUGUUAUCCUGAGGCUAGAUUUCUGUUCUGUUUAUUGAUGAGAUUUUCUCCCUGACUGCAAGACUGUAAGUUUCCUUGAAGAUAGAAGAACCAUGUGUCAUUUGACUCGUACUCCCAAAUCCUAGCCUACGGCCUGGCAUGCAGACAUAGUGGGAACUGACCAGGUGUUCAGUGAGGAAUGAAUGAACGAACAAGUGAACCUGUAGUUCUUGAAACACUAACAGUGAGCACACAUCAGUACAGACAGUCCCUGACUACAGUAGUUUGCCUUAAGACCUUUCCCCUUUUCAAUGGUGGAAAUGUAAUACAUGUUCAGUGGAAGCUGUACUUCAAAUUUUGAAUAUAUGUAUCUUUUCUCUCACAGCCAUGGCAGUAUGACUCACUCUUGCAGUCAUCAGUGAGCCGUCUGGUUUUUCACUUUGAGUACAGUGUUCAAAAAUUACUUGAGAUAUCAACACUUUAUUAUAAAACAGGCCUUGUUAGAUAAUUCAGCAAAUAUAAGUGUUUUGAGUACAUUUAAGGUAGGCUAAGCUAAGCUAUGAUGUUUGGUAGGUUACGUGUAUUAUAUACAUUUUCAGCUUAAUGUUUUUAACUUACAAUGGGUUUAUCAGGACGUAACCCCAUCCUAAAAUGAGGAAAAUUUGUAUUAAUUUGUUUUCUUAGUGGAAGUGUGAGGUUUCAAUAACUAUUCGAUUUUUUCAAUGAUAAAUGUGAAGUUGGAAAACCAAAAUAAGUCCUUUAUUUAGUCAGUAAUACAUGUGCUUGGUGCAGAAUAUAAAAUAUACACACAGUGGUCUUCAUUCCCACCCUUACCCCCACAUAUCCACAGGCAGCUGUUUGUAGUGGUUUUCAUGUAUCUUUCCAGAGAUAGUCUGUGGUUAGGUAAAGCACUUUUUAAAAAAUUAUUACUGUUUUUUACAUAAAAAACGUUAUGCCAUUUGCUCCCCUUGUUUUACUUUGAAGUAUGUCUUAGAGCUGAUUUUCUGCUAUUUUAUACUAGAAAGCUACCUUUUCCUUUUUAUUGGCUGAAUAAUAUUCACUUGAAAGAGCCAUAAUCCAAACAACUACUGACAGGCAUCCAGUUCCUUUCUAAUAUUUUGCUCUCAUUAAAGGCAGUGCAAGAAACCAUGUUUAUAAAUAUCUGUGGAAUGAAUUUUUAAAAUAGACUUAACUGGGAUUUUAUAGAUGUUUCCCAUAGAGGUCAUGGUGCAUCUUAAUCUGCUUUUCUGAAAGAAACCUAACUAAAUGCUGUAUGUAUUCAUUAUGGUCUGCAAGAUUAGCUCCUGUGACCACAGCCGAAGUUCAUCUGCUCAGAAGCUUCUUCUGUGGUCACAGGAGCUAAUCUUGCAGCUCCUGUGAUUUAAAAUGGUCUUUUAUACACAACACAUCUGGCAUGUAGCAGGCUGGAUACCUGUGUGAUUUAGCGAGAGAGGAGUGUGUGCUGGGUCCAGUAUGGACACCUCCUGGACGCUCGUCUGUGUCUCACGAGGAGAGCCGAAAGUCCUGCAAGCCUUCCUCAGACUCCUGUUGGUCUCCUCGCAUUCCUGGAGUUACUUACAUCAGCAAGUGCAUUGUUAAGGGCUGGCCUGUGGUACGGCAGGCUUUGUGGAAAGUACGCCACACCAGGGUAGCAGGAGACGCCUAUAGGCUCCCUAAGGAAACAGACAGGAUCUCCUCUAGCACUGCCCUGCACAGGUUCAUCGCCCACCUUCUCUUCUUCUCUGGCUAUCCAGAUCCUGCCAUUUCUUCAAGAUCUCUUUUCUCUCUCUCAGCCAAAAGAGCCUUCUCUUCUCUCCCCAUGGGAAACCUGGCUGAGAGGACUGGAUUGGCAGAUGUCUCAUUCUGACCCUCUGGUUGACGGGUUGAUGCUGUGUAAAUGUCCUUCAUCUCUAGUACGCUUCUUGAGGGUCACAAGUAUGUGUGUCACAUUUUAUAAACCUCAAAGCAUUCAGCACAAGCCACUCAAGAAAUAUUUAUUGGUUAAUUAAGGCAAUGCCCUCAUCAAUAGAUUUAAGAUAUUAGAUGCUUAACUUUUUAAAGUAUUCACCUUUAAAUAACAGUUUGCAUCUGAUUCAUCCUAGCAGUAUGAUGCUUUAUGCAGGUGACACUGAGAUGCCCACUGUGUCCCUGGCACUCUGUAUAUUACUACAGAAGAAGGGCAGAGAUGGUGCAGAGGAGAAAGCAAUGAACUUGGUCCGAGGACAAAGGAGGAAAUAAAACCUGAAUGGAGUUUCGAAAGUCGAAAUCUUACAAACCAGGAAGGGAGGAGACAAUGUGAAGACACGAUAAGCUACUGCAGGUGGGGGCGGGGGUGUUGACCCAGACAUGAUAUGACGUCACCUGUUUUGGGGACGUAUAAGCAGUUGCUAGAUAUAACGUAGGGCCUUGGAUUUGUACGGCCAGAGCUGUGAGAAGUCAACAUCACCACGAUGGCCAUUUCUCCACUGUGAUUCUUUUGUUUUUUGUUUUUUCUGAUCACCAGCCAGUUUUCAGUUUUGUAUAACACAUCAAAAUAGAUUAUUUCUGGUUAGGUAAUAAAAAAAAACUUAAAUAUGUCUGAAAAUUCAGUCUCUUCUCGGGUGACAAGAAUGCAAGGACUCUGCCAGGGUAGACCCCUAGGAACUCAUAGGUUAAUAUCUGAGGUUUUAUGUAAAACAAGGCAUUGCUAUUCUGAAAUUGCUCCAAAAUAUCAUAAUGGAUAGUAGUGGAAUCAUUAAAUAAUCAUUUGUCUGUCUUUACUGAACACACAUAUUUUAUGUCCCUGAUUUUAAGGAUUCUGUUUUGCAUUGUUUUCCAUAAACAUCCUUAUUUCUGUUGUUUCUACUUGCCUAUUCCCUCUAAACCCUGCCAUUCCCAACAGAGCAUGUAAUUAUUAUUAAUUUCUUGAUAUAUACAAAUAUAUUUCAUUUUCCUCUCUUUCAGGAACUUUCCUUCUAUUUAUGGACUGCUUAAGAAUAGUCAACUCACCAACGUGCCUAGUCAGUAAAUGAAUCCACUUGGGAACUUGAAAAUCAUCUUAAUUUUUUAUUUGCAUAAUUUUGUGUUCUGUGACAUGCUUUUAUUAUAUGAUUAUGCUUUUAAUUUGAGGAACCUACUCUUUUAAAAAAAAAAAGAAGAAGGAAAGAAAAUCUGUCUUAUUUUGUUGUCUUCCAAUAAUGAAAGGAGAAUGACUUGUAUAGUAGUUAAUAAAGGCUGCCUAUUGAAAUCUCUUCUGCUUCAAA
Non-coding RNA from Callithrix jacchus (white-tufted-ear marmoset), 9145 nucleotides. NCBI's taxonomy places the organism in Eukaryota, Metazoa, Chordata, Mammalia, Primates, Cebidae. The record is from RefSeq and is a predicted model, not a curated record.